Molecule: long non-coding RNA, 858 nt
Filed under: Homo sapiens (human)
Lineage: Eukaryota; Metazoa; Chordata; Mammalia; Primates; Hominidae
Description: HSALNT0159212
Source: RNAcentral
AGAACAUUCAAAAUGUGAGUUUUCCCUAUAGUGAAACUGCGGUGGUAUUUUGAAUUGUGUUUUAAAAGUUUAAAAAAAAUCAAUGAUGACUUUGCUUUAUUCUAAAUAACAUGCAUUGUUUUGUGAUUAUAAAAGUGUGUUCAUUUAAAAUAGGAAAGUCUAUAGAAGAAAAUAAAAGGCUUUUUUUUUUUUUUUUAAGUAUUUUAGGGAGGUAUCACCAUUUAGGUUGGGUAGAAGUAAUUCUUAAAUCUUAAGAAGCAAUCAUAGAUAUGUGGAAGCCAAUAGUCAUUACUAGGGAUCAUGAUUCGGAAAAACAGCCUCUCUUCAAUGAUCCUGAAUGAGCCCUUUGAAUUCCUCUCCUGCAACUGAUCUCCCCAUGGGGAGUGGUGAGGGAUGGGUGACAGGAAGGGACCCUAACCCAAAGUAGUUCAGAGCGGGUGAGUUUUAGGAGCAUUUCGGUACCAAACACAGCUUCACGAUUGAGAAUCAUCAGUCAUCCCCAGCUUUCUAUUUCAUUUGCUAACCUCUCUAGGAACAACUGGAUGUUGUAAAUGUUUCUCAUCUGGCCUUAAAAUCCAUGAAAGCUGGAAAAUCACAAGGCAUCUGUGCAUAUACUGGUGGAUUUUAAUGAGAGUCCUGUGUUUGGAGCACCAGAAAUAAACCAGCUUCAGAAGCAAAGAUCUGAACGUCUAUGACACUCUUUCGAGCUGACACAGUGAAGAACAUAGAAGGAGAACUCACCCAGUCUGCCAGGGUCACAGAAUGAUCAUACUCAAGAUCUUCCUGGGGAGUCAAUGGCAAAUUUCACUGGGCUAUUUUACAGAUGAAGAAGGAACAUAAAGAAGGUUCUGGGACCCC